UCCAGACUCCUACGGGAGGCAGCAGUCGGGAAUAUUGCGCAAUGGAGGAAACUCUGACGCAGUGACGCCGCGUGCAGGAAGAAGGUUUUCGGAUUGUAAACUGCUUUAGACAGGGAAGAAAAAAGACAGUACCUGUAGAAUAAGCUCCGGCUAACUACGUGCCAGCAGCCGCGGUAAUACGUAGGGAGCAAGCGUUAUCCGGAUUUAUUGGGUGUAAAGGGUGCGUAGACGGAGAAGCAAGUUAGUUGUGAAAUCCCUCGGCUUAACUGAGGAACUGCAACUAAAACUACUUCCCUUGAGUACUGGAGAGGAAAGUGGAAUUCCUAGUGUAGCGGUGAAAUGCGUAGAUAUUAGGAGGAACACCAGUGGCGAAGGCGGCUUACUGGACUGUAACUGACGUUGAGGCUCGAAAGCGUGGGGAGCAAACAGGAUUAGAUACCCGAGUACAA
Molecule: ribosomal RNA, 449 nt
Filed under: uncultured bacterium
Lineage: Bacteria
Description: bacterial SSU rRNA
Rfam family: Bacterial small subunit ribosomal RNA
Source: RNAcentral